This 24-nucleotide microRNA is filed under the name Zea mays. RNAcentral describes it as "microRNA miR-3022b". The record is from RNAcentral. Lineage: Eukaryota; Viridiplantae; Streptophyta; Magnoliopsida; Poales; Poaceae.
AGGUGGAACAAAGAGAAUUGAGGG